UACGGCUGGGUGUAAAUUCUC
This 21-nucleotide non-coding RNA is filed under the name Arabidopsis thaliana (thale cress). The record is from RNAcentral. Lineage: Eukaryota; Viridiplantae; Streptophyta; Magnoliopsida; Brassicales; Brassicaceae.